Long non-coding RNA from Oncorhynchus tshawytscha (Chinook salmon), 2110 nucleotides. NCBI's taxonomy places the organism in Eukaryota, Metazoa, Chordata, Actinopteri, Salmoniformes, Salmonidae. The record is from Ensembl.
GGCGGCGCACAGCCAAGUCCCCGCCCCACUCUCCACUGAAUAUGACACAGCUGCUUUUCAGAACCCAACCGCUCGAGCCCCUUCAUCCUGAGAGCAAACAAAAAGUGGCUAUUUAUUAGAAUACUUGUUUUGUAUUGUUCAGCGCCACACAACAGACGCUUCAUUAUUGUGUGUUGAAUGGUGGGUUUGGGCACCGGGCACGGAUGGCACACACAGCGGUUAGAGUUUAGGGGCGAUGGCGGUCUUACAGGAAGCUUUGGUGUGUUUAGGACGGCUUUAGGAGGAGGAUGGGGAGAAAAUCUAUUCCUACUUCACUGACUACGAUAGAGGAUCAGGGAGACGUGCCUGAAUGGAAAAAAACGCACUAGCGACUAGCCUAUUUAUGGACGUUGAUGUGGUUGUUUUGCCGGGCACCGGAUGCAGAUCCGUUCCUUGAACGCACGGGUGUCCAGUAUGAUAACUGCCAUGGUGGACUGUCCAUGGAUCACCGUGGAGACCUGUGAUUGACAGACAGGCACUAGCCCCCGUCUGGCUGGCUGGCAGGCCGUCAUUACGAUGAGCAGGAGCAGAUUUGCUAUGCUGGCGACAGGACCGCACGGGAAAUGUCAACGACCAUCAGAGCCCCAGACAGACUUCCUCCCCUCCCCCAAGUACCUCACCUAAUGUCAGCUAAUGCCCAUGCUCAUCAUCCAGACCCUCGGUACCAUCAACACAGCUUCACAUACUUCAUCUACACUCAUUUACAAACCACAUGCACACAAAGCACUCUACCCCUGUAUACUUCGUCCAACAACUCAACACGCCUCACCCAAACCCCCACAUGGCUCACCCAUCCCUCACAUAUUUCACCCCAACCCCUAUGUAUCACCCAACGGCCUCACACCUCAUCCAACCACCACAGUACCUCACUCCUUAUGUGCGUCAUCCGCCCCACACAUCCACCCGUCACCCCCCCCGUCACCCCCCAUGCACCUCAGCCAGCCUCCUAUAUUAAUACCAUGUCUCCCUCUAUUGGCCUAUUGCCCAGCAGCACUCUGCAUGUUAACAUUUCAAAAUUCCUCAAAUGGUGAGAAAGAAGUAUUUUCUUGCCUUCAGUCUAUGUGAACAGCCAGUCUGCCCUGCAUGCCAGACAGCUAGCUAGAACAUCACGUGUGGUCAGUUCUGAGACAGACUGGCACUCUGACAGGCACCCUGACCAGAGUAAGUGCCUCACACAUAUUACAGCAGUUUACUGCAGUUUGGCAGGACACUGACAACAAGACCAGCCAAUGCCUGGCAAACUGACUGACCCCCGGUCUAGUUGGCACCUAGUAAGAUAAGGAGAAAAUAUAAGGAAUAUGACAUUGAGAUCAUGUGUAAGUGAAAAAGGUUUCGGUAAUUAUUUUCUCUUUCUUGACGUGUUUUUUUUUUCUGCAAACGUACACACAGUGCAAACGUUUAGGAAAUCUGUUCCAAGGUAUCUCUAGAGUAAAGUCUUAACAGUCAUCCUUCUCCUCUCCGGGCCCAGACACAGCGUCAUGUUCAUGUUGGUACUAUUCAGAGCUCUGCUGCCUUGAAUGAUACCACAAAACUAAAUAAACACAUUAAAAUGGCUUCCUGUCGCCUCCCAUUGGCGACACAGGAAGAAAUCUCAGUUUCAUUACAUAGGAAAUUAAAAGGAAGGGUAUUUGUAGAGUACAAGGAGGAAAGGUGAGGAAAACUUUCUGCGAGACCACAAUCUAACUAUAUUACAUAUAAUCACUCAUUGAAAUAGUUUUUUAUUUAUUUGAAUUCUGUUCCUCCAGCCUGGGAUUUUUAAAAUUCCUGCCAUCGAUCUAGAAGCUGCUUGAAGCAGUGGGAGAGAGGGUUAGAUCUGUGGUAUGGAAAUACUGGGCAGAAGUUAUGAAUGAGGCAAUCUAAAAAAUUAAUAGGUAAAUCAAUGAAGCAUUCAAUGUGCAUCAACAUUGACUUAAUCAAGCAUUCGUCUUUAUGGUCUUGUAUUAUUGAUUUUAUAUCAACGUAUCAAGUUGAAAUCAAAAUUAUUUUUGCUUCUGUACAUUUUGAGGAUUGACUGAAAACCUGUCCCUUGCAUUAGAAAUAAAAUGCAAUGCAAAAUAAAGAGUUAUCUGUU